AUGGAAUAACCAGAUCUCUGCGGCCACCCCUGAAAAACAGAUUCUUUCUUCUGGAUUCCCUGGGAUUCUCUCAGCAGCCAGCCUUGUUUACAGAAGUCAGCGCGGACAGUAACAGCCCUUCACCAAUGAGCCACAGUGGAACCUUUGGGGAAGGCUCCUCACGGUGCUCUGUCAUCUGCUGACAAAGUGGUGCCAGGACCAGAACUUCACAAUGAACUCUGCAGAGAAAAAUCCACAGCAGAUGAAGGAAUCUCGAAGGCGCGGAUUACAAAUUAGUCUUUUUAAGUCAACUGACCUCAGUGCCCUUCAGUCAGUGACAGGUAGACUCAGGCUUAAAGUGAGAGGAUCCCCCACGUCACUGGUUUCAACUAGAGGAUACGUCUGUGCUAUGAGAAUACUCAGUAUGAGAAACGUGCUGCGAAACAGAGGCAGCCAGUUGGAGCAGUGCUUCAGACUAAGCUGAGGUAAGAACCAUGGAUGCUUAGUUCCAG
RNAcentral lists this long non-coding RNA (491 nucleotides) under Gallus gallus (chicken). RNAcentral describes it as "long non-coding RNA NONGGAT008769". Lineage: Eukaryota; Metazoa; Chordata; Aves; Galliformes; Phasianidae. The record is from RNAcentral.